GUCGACAAUACUUCAGAGAAUCAUUUCUAUAGUAUUCGACCCUCUCUUGGUUCCCUAAAGGAGCCACAGAUCCCACCCUGGUUGAUGAUUGAUAUCCUCGACACCCUAGAGUGAAGAAACUCUGGUUGCCCUCGCAUCCUGUGCAAGCAGGACGGUUGUGCCUUCGUGGCGCAGCUGUAUAGAGGGCGUUGAUGAUCUCGUCCCCAUUCGCGGUCUUGCCUUCGCGGCGCGCGGAUGGGGUGGGUGUCGAUGGACGUCUGACAGGC
RNAcentral lists this small nucleolar RNA (266 nucleotides) under Colletotrichum incanum. RNAcentral's name for it is "Fungal small nucleolar RNA U3". It matches the Rfam family "Fungal small nucleolar RNA U3". From Rfam's summary of the family: Small nucleolar RNAs (snoRNAs) are involved in the processing and modification of rRNA in the nucleolus. There are two main classes of snoRNAs: the box C/D class, and the box H/ACA class. U3 snoRNA is a member of the box C/D class. Lineage: Eukaryota; Fungi; Ascomycota; Sordariomycetes; Glomerellales; Glomerellaceae. The record is from Rfam by way of RNAcentral.